AAAAGCUGCCACGUCAUCGUCGGAGACGGGAACGUCGGCACAUUAAGGGAGGUUCAGGUAAUUUCCGGCCUCCCAGCCGCCUCUAGCACGGAGAGAUUGGAAAUCUUAGACGAUAAGGAACACGUGAUCAGUUUCAGCGUCGUCGGCGGAGAUCACAGGCUGAACAAUUACAGAUCGGUGACGACGCUGCAUCCGGCGGAUGAUGAAAACGG
This 212-nucleotide unclassified non-coding RNA is filed under the name Hevea brasiliensis (rubber tree). The record is from RNAcentral. Lineage: Eukaryota; Viridiplantae; Streptophyta; Magnoliopsida; Malpighiales; Euphorbiaceae.